Molecule: ribosomal RNA, 198 nt
Filed under: uncultured Dialister sp.
Lineage: Bacteria; Bacillati; Bacillota; Negativicutes; Veillonellales; Veillonellaceae
Description: partial 16S ribosomal RNA
Rfam family: Bacterial small subunit ribosomal RNA
Source: RNAcentral
ACUCCUACGGGAGGCAGCAGUGGGGUAUCUUCCGCAAUGGGAGAAAGCCUGACGAGGAGCACGCCGCGUGAGUGAGACGGCCUUCGGGUUGUAAGCUCUGUGAUCCGGGACGAAAAGGCAUAGUGCGAAUAACGAACUGCAUUGACGGUACCGGACAAGCAAGCCACGGCUAACUACGUGCCAGCAGCCGCGGUAAUA